RNAcentral lists this ribosomal RNA (253 nucleotides) under uncultured bacterium. Its description in RNAcentral is "partial 16S ribosomal RNA". It matches the Rfam family "Bacterial small subunit ribosomal RNA", at positions 524 to 776 of the family's 1533-position model. The record is from RNAcentral.
UACGAAGGGUGCAAGCGUUACUCGGAAUUACUGGGCGUAAAGCGUGCGUAGGCGGUUUGUUAAGUCUGUCGUGAAAGCCCUGGGCUCAACCUGGGAAUUGCGAUGGAUACUGGCAAGCUAGAGUACGGUAGAGGAUGGUGGAAUUCCCGGUGUAGCGGUGAAAUGCGUAGAGAUCGGGAGGAACACCCGUGGCGAAGGCGGCCAUCUGGACCAUUACUGACGCUGAGGCGCGAAAGCGUGGGGAGCAAACAGG